UUAAAUUGCUGUGGUAUUUUGACUAUACAAAGGUAUUGAAAUAAGAUUUUAAUUGAAUGCUAAGAGAAUGGAAUUUCAGAAAAAAACUUUUUUCAAGUUAAAAAUUGAAAUUUUUUUAAUUUGUGCAGAAACAAUUAUUAAUAUUAAGGACAAGAAGACCCUAUGAAUUUAUAAAUUUUAUUUAAUAUGUAACUACUAUUGAAAAAAUUUUAGCUGGGGCGGCGGAAAAAUAUUUAAAACUUUUUUAAAAUAAAAUGACCCAUUAUUAAUGAUUAUAUGUUAAAUACUCUAGGGAA
RNAcentral lists this ribosomal RNA (296 nucleotides) under Rhipicephalus sanguineus (brown dog tick). RNAcentral describes it as "partial 16S ribosomal RNA". The record is from RNAcentral. Lineage: Eukaryota; Metazoa; Arthropoda; Arachnida; Ixodida; Ixodidae.